RNAcentral lists this ribosomal RNA (2117 nucleotides) under Escherichia coli. RNAcentral's name for it is "partial 23S ribosomal RNA". It matches the Rfam family "Bacterial large subunit ribosomal RNA", at positions 609 to 2709 of the family's 2925-position model. The record is from RNAcentral. Lineage: Bacteria; Pseudomonadati; Pseudomonadota; Gammaproteobacteria; Enterobacterales; Enterobacteriaceae.
UGUAUAAUGGGUCAGCGACUUAUAUUCUGUAGCAAGGUUAACCGAAUAGGGGAGCCGAAGGGAAACCGAGUCUUAACUGGGCGUUAAGUUGCAGGGUAUAGACCCGAAACCCGGUGAUCUAGCCAUGGGCAGGUUGAAGGUUGGGUAACACUAACUGGAGGACCGAACCGACUAAUGUUGAAAAAUUAGCGGAUGACUUGUGGCUGGGGGUGAAAGGCCAAUCAAACCGGGAGAUAGCUGGUUCUCCCCGAAAGCUAUUUAGGUAGCGCCUCGUGAAUUCAUCUCCGGGGGUAGAGCACUGUUUCGGCAAGGGGGUCAUCCCGACUUACCAACCCGAUGCAAACUGCGAAUACCGGAGAAUGUUAUCACGGGAGACACACGGCGGGUGCUAACGUCCGUCGUGAAGAGGGAAACAACCCAGACCGCCAGCUAAGGUCCCAAAGUCAUGGUUAAGUGGGAAACGAUGUGGGAAGGCCCAGACAGCCAGGAUGUUGGCUUAGAAGCAGCCAUCAUUUAAAGAAAGCGUAAUAGCUCACUGGUCGAGUCGGCCUGCGCGGAAGAUGUAACGGGGCUAAACCAUGCACCGAAGCUGCGGCAGCGACGCUUAUGCGUUGUUGGGUAGGGGAGCGUUCUGUAAGCCUGUGAAGGUGUGCUGUGAGGCAUGCUGGAGGUAUCAGAAGUGCGAAUGCUGACAUAAGUAACGAUAAAGCGGGUGAAAAGCCCGCUCGCCGGAAGACCAAGGGUUCCUGUCCAACGUUAAUCGGGGCAGGGUGAGUCGACCCCUAAGGCGAGGCCGAAAGGCGUAGUCGAUGGGAAACAGGUUAAUAUUCCUGUACUUGGUGUUACUGCGAAGGGGGGACGGAGAAGGCUAUGUUGGCCGGGCGACGGUUGUCCCGGUUUAAGCGUGUAGGCUGGUUUUCCAGGCAAAUCCGGAAAACCAAGGCUGAGGCGUGAUGACGAGGCACUACGGUGCUGAAGCGACAAAUGCCCUGCUUCCAGGAAAAGCCUCUAAGCAUCAGGUAACAUCAAAUCGUACCCCAAACCGACACAGGUGGUCAGGUAGAGAAUACCAAGGCGCUUGAGAGAACUCGGGUGAAGGAACUAGGCAAAAUGGUGCCGUAACUUCGGGAGAAGGCACGCUGAUAUGUAGGUGAAGCGACUUGCUCGUGGAGCUGAAAUCAGUCGAAGAUACCAGCUGGCUGCAACUGUUUAUUAAAAACACAGCACUGUGCAAACACGAAAGUGGACGUAUACGGUGUGACGCCUGCCCGGUGCCGGAAGGUUAAUUGAUGGGGUUAGCGGUAACGCGAAGCUCUUGAUCGAAGCCCCGGUAAACGGCGGCCGUAACUAUAACGGUCCUAAGGUAGCGAAAUUCCUUGUCGGGUAAGUUCCGACCUGCACGAAUGGCGUAAUGAUGGCCAGGCUGUCUCCACCCGAGACUCAGUGAAAUUGAACUCGCUGUGAAGAUGCAGUGUACCCGCGGCAAGACGGAAAGACCCCGUGAACCUUUACUAUAGCUUGACACUGAACAUUGAGCCUUGAUGUGUAGGAUAGGUGGGAGGCUUUGAAGUGUGGACGCCAGUCUGCAUGGAGCCGACCUUGAAAUACCACCCUUUAAUGUUUGAUGUUCUAACGUGGGCCCCUAAUCGGGGUUGCGGACAGUGUCUGGUGGGUAGUUUGACUGGGGCGGUCUCCUCCUAAAGAGUAACGGAGGAGCACGAAGGUUGGCUAAUCCUGGUCGGACAUCAGGAGGUUAGUGCAAUGGCAUAAGCCAGCUUGACUGCGAGCGUGACGGCGCGAGCAGGUGCGAAAGCAGGUCAUAGUGAUCCGGUGGUUCUGAAUGGAAGGGCCAUCGCUCAACGGAUAAAAGGUACUCCGGGGAUAACAGGCUGAUACCGCCCAAGAGUUCAUAUCGACGGCGGUGUUUGGCACCUCGAUGUCGGCUCAUCACAUCCUGGGGCUGAAGUAGGUCCCAAGGGUAUGGCUGUUCGCCAUUUAAAGUGGUACGCGAGCUGGGUUUAGAACGUCGUGAGACAGUUCGGUCCCUAUCUGCCGUGGGCGCUGGAGAACUGAGGGGGGCUGCUCCUAGUACGAGAGGACCGGAGUGGACGCAUCAC